UCAGGAUGAACGCUAGCGGCAGGCUAACACAUGCAAGUCGAGGGGCAGCGGGAUGUAGCAAUACAUUGCCGGCGACCGGCGGAUGGGUGCGUAACGCGUAUGCAACCUACCUUAGUACAGGGGAAUAACCUUUCGAAAGGGAGACUAACACCCCAUAGUAUUGAUUUAAGGCAUCUUAGAUUAAUUAAAUAUUUAUAGGUAUAAGAUGGGCAUGCGUAUGAUUAGCUAGUUGGUAAGGUAACGGCUUACCAAGGCGACGAUCAUUAGGGGUUCUGAGAGGAAGGUCCCCCACACUGGUACUGAGACACGGACCAGACUCCUACGGGAGGCAGCAGUGAGGAAUAUUGGUCAAUGGGCGCAAGCCUGAACCAGCCAUGCCGCGUGCAAGGAAGACGGCCUUAUGGGUUGUAAACUGCUUUUACAUAAGACUAACCGUAUAUUUGCGAAUAUACCUGAAUGUAUUAUGAGAAUAAGGAUCGGCUAACUCCGUGCCAGCCGCAGC
Molecule: ribosomal RNA, 502 nt
Filed under: uncultured bacterium
Lineage: Bacteria
Description: bacterial SSU rRNA
Rfam family: Bacterial small subunit ribosomal RNA
Source: RNAcentral